Molecule: non-coding RNA, 233 nt
Organism: Phoenix dactylifera (date palm)
Lineage: Eukaryota; Viridiplantae; Streptophyta; Magnoliopsida; Arecales; Arecaceae
Source: RefSeq, a predicted model, not a curated record
CGGAAUUCUGUGCAUUCCGGUUCUUUAUCGCCGUGAGGGCGGGUGAUUGGUUGUCUAAAUUUUCAACAAAGAGUUGCAGGAUGCUUAGAUUUGGAUGGGAUGGGCGCAGAGUGCAAGUAUCAGAGUCAUUAGCUAGUUAGUUUGUUUGUACUUCUUUGAUAUCGAUGAACAUUUGAAGAUCUUGUAAUUGAACUAAUUUGUUUAUUUGGACAUGUUGGACUGCUCUAUUUGAA